Molecule: ribosomal RNA, 558 nt
Rfam family: Eukaryotic small subunit ribosomal RNA
AUGCUUCUCCUAAAGACUAAGCCAUGCAUGUCUUCGUAUACGAGGAAGCAAUUCUCUCUGAAUCUGCGAACGGCUCCGCAAACCAGUUGUAAACAAAGGCAAGGGUGCCCCGAACCUUCGGGCGAGGGGCGAUACGGAUAACCCUGGUAAUUCUGAGGCUAAUACGAGAGCGUGAAACCUGGACGACCGGGAAACUGGAAGGCUGGGGGACGUGUGAUCCAAAAAGCAGUAGGGAAAGCCGGGGGAGGAUGCAUGUUCAUACCACCAUAACGAACGGUGCUUGUUGGAACCGAAAGGGAAAGGCGGGCUUCCGGGUGGGUCUUGCAAUGUGCUUCUGACCUAUCAACUAGAUGGCAGCAUAAGGGACAUGCCAUGGUUACAACGGGUACAGAGGAUAAGGGUUCGAUCCUGGAGAGUGGGCCUGAGAGAUUGCUCAUACUUCUAAGGAAGGCAGCAGGCGCGCAACGUUCCCAUUGGGCAAAGCCCGAGGGCGUUAGGGGACAUAUGAAUGCCUGCCAAUAGGUGGGCAAUUCAAAUGGGACUGUUCUAAACAGCCUA